Molecule: ribosomal RNA, 481 nt
Filed under: uncultured bacterium
Lineage: Bacteria
Description: partial 16S ribosomal RNA
Rfam family: Bacterial small subunit ribosomal RNA
Source: RNAcentral
UUGAACGCUGGCGGCAUGCCUUACACCUGCAAGUCGAACGGUAACGGGCCUUCGGGUGCCGACGAGUGGCGAACGGGUGAGUAAUACAUCGGAACGUGCCCGAUCGUGGGGGAUAACGAGGCGAAAGCUUUGCUAAUACCGCAUACGAUCUACGGAUGAAAGCAGGGGACCGCAAGGCCUUGCGCGGACGGAGCGGCCGAUGGCAGAUUAGGCAGUUGGUGGGAUAAAAGCUUACCAAGCCGACGAUCUGUAGCUGGUCUGAGAGGAUGAUCAGCCACACUGGGACUGAGACACGGCCCAGACUCCUACGGGAGGCAGCAGUGGGGAAUUUUGGACAAUGGGCGCAAGCCUGAUCCAGCCAUGCCGCGUGCAGGAUGAAGGCCUUCGGGUUGUAAACUGCUUUUGUACGGAACGAAAAGCCUUCUUUUAAUACAGGAGGGUCAUGACGGUACCGUAAGAAUAAGCACCGGCUAACUACGUG